This 195-nucleotide ribosomal RNA is filed under the name uncultured bacterium. RNAcentral describes it as "partial 16S ribosomal RNA". It matches the Rfam family "Bacterial small subunit ribosomal RNA", at positions 328 to 539 of the family's 1533-position model. The record is from RNAcentral.
ACGCUCGACACCUACGGGAGCAGCAGUGGGGAAUAUUGCACAAUGGGGGAAACCCUGAUGCAGCGACGCCGCGUGGAGGAAGAAGGUCUUCGGAUUGUAAACUCCUGUUGUUGGGGAAAAAGAGGAUGGUACCCAACAAGGAAGUGACGGCUAACUACGUGCCAGCAGGCGGUAAUCUGAGCGGGCUGGCAAGGC